Callithrix jacchus (white-tufted-ear marmoset) is the source of this 2449-nucleotide long non-coding RNA. RefSeq lists it as uncharacterized. Lineage: Eukaryota; Metazoa; Chordata; Mammalia; Primates; Cebidae. The record is from RefSeq and is a predicted model, not a curated record.
CCUUCUUCUCAACUAGGCCUCAACCUCAGCCUAUAAAGAGUUGAAUAAAACACAAAUACAGUUUCUAAUAGCUCAAGGCUGCAUCUCUAGAAUGACUUUAACCCCCCCUUUAAGUGUCUGCCUGAGAAAACUCAAAACUGUCCAAAUAAUUUAUUGUGUGUUCAUCUAACAUCUGAAGAUGGGGCUCCCGCUUCCAGCCUCUGUGGGAGGGUGGGAGCCUGACUUCCACAGGCGCCAGUUAACACACCCAGAUGGUUUACGUGCACCAACUCCCCUCUUCCUGCUUUGUGUGAUUUUUUCAGUUCCCUGACUUCACUGAACCUCUGCUCACCUCCCUUUCUACUCCUUCAUUCUCUCUUUAAAAUGCACAGUCACUUCUGUACAAAUUGCUGUUGUUCAGUUCACACUGAACAGUCCUCUAUCGCAACAGUCUAUCAUGGAUUAAAAUUGCUCCUUGCCAUUUUAUCUCUGAUACCCUCACUACAAUGCAGUCUCCAGGAACUGGAUUUUUGUUUUCUCAUGAGCACAAAAUAGAGACUCAGUAAGUACUUGCUGAACCUUGUUGAUGGGUCAACAGUGGUGCAGGGGUUUUAGCCCCUAAGCCACACUUCUGGGCUGGGAUAAGCAUGUUUAAGCAUCUGGAUGAAACAUCAUUGCUCAUUUCACUCCUUAAAUAUGUGGCAAGUGACAGGCUGGACAUCGGAGAUCAUGUCGGUCUUCCUAAAGGUUUCUUCAAUUUGUUUGUUUGGUUUUGUUUUUUUUUUUUGAGAUGGAGUCUUGCUCUGUUGCCCAGGCUGGAGUGCAGUGGCAUGAUCUCGGCUCACCACAACCUCUGCAAUUCUUCAGCCUCAGCCUCCUGGGCACCAGGACUACAGGUACCUGCCACCAUGCCUGGCUCAUUUCUGGAGUUUUGGUAGAGACGGGGUUUCACCAUGUUGGCCAGGCUGGUCUCAAACUUCUGACCUCAAGUGAUCCACCUGUCUCAGCCUUCCAAAGUGCUGGGAUUAUAGGUCUGAGCCUCUGCAUCUGGCCUUCAAUUUGUUUUUAAUUCUGAUAGAGCACCAUCUGCUACAUGCUUAAUAUCAGCCAUAAACAGACAUAAAUGAGCACAGAUAGUAUGUUAAUGAAAGAUUACUACCGGGUGAAGAGCAUUUGCUUCACAGGAACUUUUCUUGUUGAUUGUUGUUAUUUCCCCACCUCUCGACCCUUUAUUUCCAUUUGCAGUCUUGGUCCUUAAUCUUCCCUUCAACUCCAGCUCCCUCAGUGACUCUCUGGGUUUCCAUUCUUAGAACUUCAUCAAAAAUGCUUUGGCUGUGAAUUCCAGUGAGUUCCUUCAGAUGCGAUCUGAAGAUGUCCUUACAGUUUUUAUCUUUAGGUUCUCUUAGGUGAUCUGGGGGCCAUUAACCUCCCUCACUGCACUCUUUCUUCUAAUUUUUUUUCCUCAGCUGUGGCUCCUUACCAUUUUCAGUUGACUACAAAUUUUCCCGAGUAUAAUCAGUUGCUUUCCAACAAAUGCUUUCUAAGCAACUACUAGGGAUGAGGCACCAUUCCAAUUAUGAAAGUCUACUACUCAAAAUGAACUCGAAGAGACGGAGACAGUCUAUACUCACAUGAAAAGUUAAAGUUUACUUUAACUGAACAAAUUAUUAAGCAAGCACUAUGCAGUAAACUUUAACUUUUCAUGUGAACAAAACUAUGUAGGAAAAUUCUGGUGAUAGCCUAGGCAAUAAUAAAUGGUCACAUUAUUAAUUCAGCCAGCAAGUCAAAGGUCUCCGUUUAGAGCUGUCGCCACCCCAUUAUGACAUUUCUCUCUUCUACAGGGUAUUUUCAAUGGGUAUUAUAGUAUCGACCACAGAUAACAAAAUUACCAUAUCUUCUUAUUGCAGCCUCAACCCUGUUUUCCAACAGCUUCAUAAUUAUCAUUGCCACCACCGACAUUCUGAUACUCAGGUGUAUCUCGGCAUUUCCGGUCUCCCUACAAAGAGAUUCCUAUGUUCAACCCACGGAGGCAGUAGUUUCCAAGGUCUCCCUUCCUUCCUCUUCCUGCCAUCACAGCCCUGGUUUCGAUGUCAAGAAACCCAGCUCAUCUUGCUCAGCCUCACCUUUUUCCAGUCUACAAAAGGCAUGACAGACACGGAGAAAUGAAGAAUUAAAAAUGCUCCACAAUUGUAACACUUUUCAAAAGUCCAAAGGAAUCCACACUUGUCUGAGGUUUUACUUUCCACAGUGAAAUAAGACAUUAGGCUUUUCUCCGUGACACGUAUGCUUCCCAGAUGCCCUGGAAUUCCCCAGACCCCUAGGACAAGGAGGAGCCCCCAGAGAGCUUUCUUCCUUCCUCUGCCAUGUGGGGACACAGCAAGAAGAUGGCCAGCUAUGAACCAGGAAGCAGGCCUUCACCAAACACUGAAUCUGCCAGUGUCUUGUUCUUGAACUUCCAGCCUCCAGAACU